This 949-nucleotide ribosomal RNA is filed under the name Microbacterium sp. Its description in RNAcentral is "bacterial SSU rRNA". It matches the Rfam family "Bacterial small subunit ribosomal RNA", at positions 104 to 1066 of the family's 1533-position model. Lineage: Bacteria; Bacillati; Actinomycetota; Actinomycetes; Micrococcales; Microbacteriaceae. The record is from RNAcentral.
GGGUGAGUAACACGUGAGCAACCUGCCCUGGACUCUGGGAUAAGCGCUGGAAACGGUGUCUAAUACCGGAUAUGAGCUCCUGCCGCAUGGUGGGGGUUGGAAAGAUUUUUUGGUCUGGGAUGGGCUCGCGGCCUAUCAGCUUGUUGGUGAGGUAAUGGCUCACCAAGGCGUCGACGGGUAGCCGGCCUGAGAGGGUGACCGGCCACACUGGGACUGAGACACGGCCCAGACUCCUACGGGAGGCAGCAGUGGGGAAUAUUGCACAAUGGGCGGAAGCCUGAUGCAGCAACGCCGCGUGAGGGACGACGGCCUUCGGGUUGUAAACCUCUUUUAGCAAGGAAGAAGCGAAAGUGACGGUACUUGCAGAAAAAGCGCCGGCUAACUACGUGCCAGCAGCCGCGGUAAUACGUAGGGCGCAAGCGUUAUCCGGAAUUAUUGGGCGUAAAGAGCUCGUAGGCGGUUUGUCGCGUCUGCUGUGAAAUCCCGAGGCUCAACCUCGGGUCUGCAGUGGGUACGGGCAGACUAGAGUGCGGUAGGGGAGAUUGGAAUUCCUGGUGUAGCGGUGGAAUGCGCAGAUAUCAGGAGGAACACCGAUGGCGAAGGCAGAUCUCUGGGCCGUAACUGACGCUGAGGAGCGAAAGGGUGGGGAGCAAACAGGCUUAGAUACCCUGGUAGUCCACCCCGUAAACGUUGGGAACUAGUUGUGGGGUCCAUUCCACGGAUUCCGUGACGCAGCUAACGCAUUAAGUUCCCCGCCUGGGGAGUACGGCCGCAAGGCUAAAACUCAAAGGAAUUGACGGGGACCCGCACAAGCGGCGGAGCAUGCGGAUUAAUUCGAUGCAACGCGAAGAACCUUACCAAGGCUUGACAUACACGAGAACGCCGCAGAAAUGUGGAACUCUUUGGACACUCGUGAACAGGUGGUGCAUGGUUGUCGUCAGCUCGUGUC